UGGGGUGGUGGCUCAGUGUUAGAGCACUCACCCAACGCAUGCGAGAGGUCCUGGGUUCCAUCCUCAGCACCACAG
RNAcentral lists this transfer RNA (75 nucleotides) under Marmota monax (woodchuck). RNAcentral's name for it is "tRNA.Val". Lineage: Eukaryota; Metazoa; Chordata; Mammalia; Rodentia; Sciuridae. The record is from RNAcentral.